GAUGAAGAACGUAGCGAAAUGCGAUAAGUAAUGUGAAUUGCAGAAUUCAGUGAAUCAUCGAAUCUUUGAACGCACAUUGCGCCCCCCAGUAUUCUGGCGGGCAUGUCUGUUCGAGCGUCAUUUCAACCAUCAAGCCCUGCUUGUGUUGGGGUCCUGCGGCUGCCCGCAGGCCCUGAAAACCAGUGGCGGGCUCGCUAGUCACACCGAGCGCAGUAGCACAUCUCGCUCAGGGCGUGCGGCGGGCUCCAGCCGUUAAAGCACCCACCUUUCGCAAGGUUGACCUCGGAUCAGGUAGGAAUACCCGCUGAACUUAAGCAUAUCAAUAAGCGGAGGA
Molecule: unclassified non-coding RNA, 334 nt
Filed under: soil metagenome
Description: partial contains 5.8S ribosomal RNA, internal transcribed spacer 2, and large subunit ribosomal RNA
Rfam family: 5.8S ribosomal RNA (bases 1-120)
Source: RNAcentral